Molecule: long non-coding RNA, 448 nt
Filed under: Gossypium barbadense (sea-island cotton)
Lineage: Eukaryota; Viridiplantae; Streptophyta; Magnoliopsida; Malvales; Malvaceae
Description: long non-coding RNA (GBAR_LNC004052)
Source: RNAcentral
UCCGACUCCCCUCUUGUUCUUCACUCCGAUUCUCUCACAACUCAUUCAUCUCCGGUUGGAUUUUUCACUGGCUCCAAGGAAAUUGUAUCAACACUCAAGAUUCAAGAAACUUCUACACUGCUUCAACCUGCAUCCUUUGGAUCAUAUGGAAAUCAAGAAAUUAACUCAUCUUUAGAGGUUCUAAUUCAUGUCCUAUAGGGCCAUUACAAGAAUAUCGUAUCUUUAUAUUUCCAUUCUCAGUGCCUAUCAUGCUCAUUCUUCUCGGGCUUUUCAUUCAAGGAAUCAACCUGCUCUCAGCCUUGGUGAUCAAUUCUCCCAUCGGUCUCUAUCGUCCUACAUUAUUAAAAAUCGUCAAAAGGACAUGACUAGAGCAGCAGCUAUUGUUUAAAACUCUAAUGUGCUCCAACUGUUGUCCAUUCAAAACUUCAUGUUUCCCAGCAAUAUUCAG